RNAcentral lists this ribosomal RNA (301 nucleotides) under uncultured bacterium. Its description in RNAcentral is "partial 16S ribosomal RNA". It matches the Rfam family "Bacterial small subunit ribosomal RNA", at positions 509 to 809 of the family's 1533-position model. The record is from RNAcentral.
CAGUCGCCGCGGGAAUACGUAGGGUGCAAGCGUUAAUCGGAAUUACUGGGCGUAAAGCGUGCGCAGGCGGUUCGUUAAGACAGAUGUGAAAUCCCCGGGCUUAACCUGGGAACUGCAUUUGUGACUGACGGGCUAGAGUAUGGCAGAGGGGGGUAGAAUUCCACGUGUAGCAGUGAAAUGCGUAGAGAUGUGGAGGAAUACCGAUGGCGAAGGCAGCCCCCUGGGCCAAUACUGACGCUCAUGCACGAAAGCGUGGGGAGCAAACAGGAUUAGAUACCCCCGUAGUCCCUGUCUCUUAUAA